AAUAAGUACAGUUUUAGCACAGUUCAUGUCUAACGUUUGACCGUUCGUCUUAUUUGAAAUUUUUUUAUGACUACUACUUUUAUUGUUAUUAGAUGAUAAAACAUGAAUAACAUUUUAUGUGUGACUAAUUUUUUUUAUAUAUAUUUUAUAAAAUUUUCAAAUAAAACAGAUGAUCAAAAUGAUGGACACAAAUAUUUAUGGCUGCACUUAUU
Molecule: non-coding RNA, 212 nt
Organism: Oryza glumipatula
Lineage: Eukaryota; Viridiplantae; Streptophyta; Magnoliopsida; Poales; Poaceae
Source: Rfam